GACAUAUUAAAAUCUAUAUUCCAAAGACUCUAACCUUUAUAAAGAACAAGCAAAACUAUACAUUCCUUUUCUGCAUUUAUAUAAUUCCCUCUCUAUUACGUUCCUGCAGUCCUCUAAUGUUUUAAUCUUUCUGUCACACUUGCAUGAAACUACAGGCCUGGGUUGGAGCCUGCUUCCUUUGCCCUUAAGAAGUUAAGAAAAAGAAGCCAAGACUCUUCCACUUGAUUUUUACUUUUAUAUUUUUAUUUAAUAAUGAUAGCUUUUGAACAAGAUCUGAGUUUUGUCUUAUAAUAUAAUAAUAUUACUCAUGAUAUUAAUGGUAGCAAUGUUACUCAUGUAGUGAGUUGCAUCAAUUGUAAGGGAGGAUUUUUUGUACUUAAUGUCAUAAAUACAUUUAAUAUGUCACCAUAAUUGAUUCUAUCUUUAAUUUUGCAAUAAAGCUUACUAACAGAUGAAAGCCUGGGUUGAAGACUGCGAUAUGAUAACCCUUCCAUCUAGAUUUCCAGUUCAGAUUCUGCUUGAGAGAAAGCCAAUGUCUGACAACUGGACGGUCACCUCUGUGAAUUAAUCUGGUGGGCUCAAUCCGAUUCUACUCACAUCUCCAAAACUAGUACUACAGCCAGCAAGUCUCUACACAGAGUCUAAGAGUUAAGCAAUCACAAUGACUGAACCAUCAACUUGACCUUUAAGAUCCCUUUAGAAAAGCAGUGUUCCACAGCCUAACAUGAAAACAGCGGGUGAAAGUCACACCUCACUGAAGUCAAUAGGAGGAUUGCUUUCAGUGGAACUUGGACUUCACCCGGCCAAUCCAGUCUGCAGUGUUUGGAUCCUACCUAUGUCCAAAGUACAGAUUCCAUCAUCUGCCUUCUUUCCUGAACCUUAAAGGUAUUUACUCAGCAUUGCAGUCUCUCAGUUCCACUUUGUUUUAAUGCAGUUACAUAAUAAACUAUGGACCUCCAGAGAUCA
This 966-nucleotide long non-coding RNA is filed under the name Struthio camelus australis. RNAcentral describes it as "lncRNA (ENSSCUG00000010004.1)". The record is from RNAcentral. Lineage: Eukaryota; Metazoa; Chordata; Aves; Struthioniformes; Struthionidae.